GGAAGACAAUAUAACUAAUUUAAUAGCGAUGAAAGCUGUGUAAAAGCUGAAGAAAAAAUGUCAUGUGGUCGGAGCAUGCAAAACCAUCAUCUGUGGUGGUUCAAAUGUGGAGUCAAGAAAUAAGAAACAUAGAGAAACCGUUCACAUAAAAUACACAAGGAUCCUUGUAAUGGAGAUUGAAGGAGCAACUUGGAUGUAAUUGAAGUAAACAUUUCUAGAAACAAAUGAACAUUUG
This 235-nucleotide unclassified non-coding RNA is filed under the name Hevea brasiliensis (rubber tree). The record is from RNAcentral. Lineage: Eukaryota; Viridiplantae; Streptophyta; Magnoliopsida; Malpighiales; Euphorbiaceae.